CUAUAUUACAACUCAAAUACUGAUAACAGUUAAAAUUGAAUGCACAAUCACACAAUGGACUUUUGUUUAUGGCAUCUAUCAUGUCAGGUGCUGAAAUGACCAUGAUACAAAUAUCAUUAAUGUGCAUUUGCUCUAAAUGCAUGAUAGUAAUAAUGUUGUGAGAUUUGAUAUCAUCCAACUAAAACUGCAAGAAUUGCAAGCUGUUUCUUAUUGUGUAAAUUUUAAAACUGGCAGAUGUGUUAGAUGAACCAAGAAUAUGCCCAUGAGUACAUGUUAUUUUUAAUUUCAGGAUAUGUAUGACUAAUAAUAGAUUUAACAAUUUAAACAACGAAAGAUUCUGAACCUGGGAAAAAGUGGAUUUGAGAUUAAAGCUUACAAACCAUGAGUCGAGCGUAGUAAGAAAGUCGAUUUGAGUUUAAAGCUUACAAACCAUGAGUCGAGCGUAGUAAGGAAACUAAUUUUGCACAUUAAAUAUAAAUUUUUAAUAAAUAAAAUAUUAUAUUGCAUGAUUAAUUUUAAUGCUUUUUAAAAUUUUAAAAUCUUUAAAAUGUUUUAUUUUAUGCUAUAAUGCUUAUUAAUGUUCAGAAAUCUUCUUUAAAAUUCAUUUAAAGUGUACUUAGAAACCUAAUUUCACUGAAAAAUGUCUUCAGAUUUUUAUGGCCUCAACAAAACAGUCGUUGAGAUGAAAACUUUGACAUUUAUAGUAUUAAAUUCUUUAAAACACACUAAAAAUGCAAAAUAAUAAUCAACUCAUAUUCAGGUUAUUCCAGAAAGGGGGAUUUGGAUUGUGUGUAUAAAAUAAAUAAAUUUUCUUUUUGAAGUACAUUUUUUAAUCACCACAAGAAAGCACGGAGUUUCUACUGGAUCUCUGAAAAGGUCUCAGAAGAAUAUAUUAUUUCAUAUUUCAGUUUGACAAAGGAAUCUACGGGGCCUGACCUUCAUCAUAUGGAGAUAUUGUUGGAUUAUGACUUAUCUAGAAGGGAAGGUAAAGAAAAUAAUUUAAAAGCAUUUUGAGAAAAGGCUAACUUAUGAAAAGUUUCAAGUUCAAGAAGUUCUUUCAUUUGAAUAUUUUCUUAGGGAUCAGAAUUGUGCCAGGACAUUUUUUUAGUCUACUUGAGACUUGAAUAAAAAUUUUAUUUCGCUGUUCUGUUAACUGAAUUUCACUCAAGAGGUCUGGGAAGAAGAAAGACUACACAAAUUUCUUUUAUUGUUGAAGACUGUAUUUAAAAAAAAAAAAAAAAAAAAAAAAAAAAA
Molecule: long non-coding RNA, 1254 nt
Organism: Stegodyphus dumicola
Lineage: Eukaryota; Metazoa; Arthropoda; Arachnida; Araneae; Eresidae
Source: RefSeq, a predicted model, not a curated record